AUGAACGCUGGCGGCGUGUUUAAGGCAUGCAAGUCGAACGAGUAAGUGGAGCAAUCCACUUGCUAGUGGCAAACGGGUGCGUAACACAUUGGUAACCUACCCUCAUCUCGUGAACAACCCCGAGAAAUCGGGGCUAAUACACGAUUGCCUGUUAAAGUGUAAUUCUUUAACAGUAAAGAUUUAUCGGAUGGGGAGGGGCCUAUGGCUUAUCAGCUUGUUGGUGAGGUAAAAGCUCACCAAGGCUAUGACGAGUAGCGGGUGUGAGAGCACGACCCGCCUCACUGGGACUGAGACACUGCCCAGACACCUACGGGUGGCUGCAGUCAAGAAUAUUCCUCAAUGCACGAAAGUGUGAAGGAGCGACGCCGCGUGAUCGAAGAAGCCCCUCGGGGUGUAAAGAUCUUUUUUAAGGGACGAAUUAUUGACGGUACCUUAAGAAUAAGAGGUUGCUAACUCUGU
RNAcentral lists this ribosomal RNA (459 nucleotides) under uncultured bacterium. RNAcentral describes it as "bacterial SSU rRNA". It matches the Rfam family "Bacterial small subunit ribosomal RNA", at positions 29 to 506 of the family's 1533-position model. The record is from RNAcentral.